CAGUCGCCACGGUAAUACGAAGGGUGCAAGCGUUACUCGGAAUUACUGGGCGUAAAGCGUGCGUAGGUGGUUGUUUAAGUCUGCUGUGAAAGCCCUGGGCUCAACCUGGGAAUUGCAGUGGAUACUGGGCGACUAGAGUAAGGUAGAGGAUAGUGGAAUUUCCGGUGUAGCAGUGAAAUGCGUAGAGAUCGGAAGGAACAUCUGUGGCGAAGGCGACUAUCUGGGCCAUUACUGACACUGAGGCACGAAAGCGUGGGGAGCAAACAGGAUUAGAUACCCGGGUAGUCCCUGUCUCUUAUAC
Molecule: ribosomal RNA, 301 nt
Filed under: uncultured bacterium
Lineage: Bacteria
Description: partial 16S ribosomal RNA
Rfam family: Bacterial small subunit ribosomal RNA
Source: RNAcentral